GACAGAGGGUGCAAACGUUGUUCGGAAUUACUGGGCGUAAAGCGCGUGUAGGCGGCCCUGCAAGUCGGAUGUGAAAUCCCACGGCUCAACCGUGGAAGUGCAUUCGAAACUGCAGGGCUAGAGUCCUGGAGAGGAAGGUGGAAUGCUUGGUGUAGAGGUGAAAUUCGUAGAUAUCAAGCAGAACACCUGCGGCGAAGGCGGCCUUCUGGACGAUGACUGACGCUGAGACGCGAAAGCGUGGGGAGCAAACAGG
RNAcentral lists this ribosomal RNA (253 nucleotides) under uncultured bacterium. RNAcentral describes it as "partial 16S ribosomal RNA". It matches the Rfam family "Bacterial small subunit ribosomal RNA", at positions 524 to 776 of the family's 1533-position model. The record is from RNAcentral.